GCUUUCGUGGUGUAGUGGUCAGCACGCUCGGCGUCUAUUCGAGAGGUCCGUGGUUCGAGUCCAGGCGAGGGCA
Non-coding RNA from Stegodyphus mimosarum, 73 nucleotides. The record is from Rfam. Lineage: Eukaryota; Metazoa; Arthropoda; Arachnida; Araneae; Eresidae.